Molecule: long non-coding RNA, 1815 nt
Organism: Astatotilapia calliptera (eastern happy)
Lineage: Eukaryota; Metazoa; Chordata; Actinopteri; Cichliformes; Cichlidae
Source: Ensembl
GUGAGAAAUGGGUCUUUAUUAAGAUUUCUUAAUAAAUCCAGAUAUUUCCCCAACAGUCAGGAGGAAAGAGUCCUCCUUGAGCAGACCUGAUGAGUGUUGUAUAAUAUUCAAAUUAAGGUGUAGACAGGGCAUCCUUAUUGUGGUGCAUGUGUUCCUGAUACAUGAACCAGGGAACAUAGUGGAUGAAAGAGAGUCUGACAGUUCUGUGAAUUUUCAAAGGAGUGAAGUCCAUAAUUGUAUUAAGACACCAGUUUAUCAGGAGUACAUAAAUUAUCUCUUCGAGGCAGACUGUCAGUUACAUGGGAGAAAGUAGUUAUGUCAAUGUACUACUUAGGUGCAAAAAGGCAAUACUUUUUCCUGUGUGAUUUCUCAUUCUUACACAUAACUUAAUUCACAAACAUCUGUGAUUUUAUUUCUUUAUAUGGGUGGAACACAUGGGUUGGUACUGACAUCUGGUGAGAAUUUUAUGUCAAUAGCAACUUUAGAAAUAUAUUUAUUUAGAAAAUUGAUGGCGUGUUCAUUACUUAUUUUACCCUCUGAAUAUUAUUAACCCCCCAAAAAAUAGCAGUGUGGGGUAAAUAAAGAUGUUUAUAUUAAUAAAGGCAUGGUUUGGUGACCAUUAGAAUAGUUUCGGAGAAACUGAGACCCUCACUAACCUUUGAUGUACACUAUAAGCAGGCCUGUAAUAUGAAAGAAACUGCUCAGUUCAAAAAAGUUUUAGGCACCUAAGAGUCUAAGGUGGCACCAAUUCAGCGUGAGAAAUUUAUUUUCACCAUUUUACAUUUUGCAUGUGAAACAAAGCUUGCUUUGUCUGCGGUUCAGCAUGUCAUAACCACAGUGCCACUGGUUUUAUUUGGUCUCACGCACUGCUACUUCACUGCUAGUUAAAUGUAGCAGUAGUUAUUGCCAUUAUUCCAGCAUAGGCAGAUCAUUCAAAAAAAAAAAAUGUCUUACGCACACAGAGGUUAAAGUGAAAUUUCCACCAUGCUCACUGUCUGCAUUCUUUGUUUACUUUAAUAACAUAAAACCAGACUUCUGUUAAGUGGAAGUCUUUUGGCUUAAACCACAGGCUGCAUUUCCUCUUUUCUAGUUGGCCCAGCUGGAAACCGUGAGGUCUUUCGGUAAAUAAAAUGAGUUGCAGAAUGAACAGCAACCAAUAGCAGUCUUUUACAUAUACAAAUUUACAUGAAAGUCUGGCUCAUUGGAAGCAACAUAUUCAAAAAAAAUAAGUGGCGAUCAAGACAUUUGCAGAGUAUUGUACAUCUUGCAUAUUGUCUGAUAUCCACCACUGUAAAGGUCAACAAUGGAACACAUUGUACUGUAAUCAUAUUAAACAGAAGUACAGAAUCACUGCAGCCAUUUGCGUUGAGACUGAACCUGUGCACUGACUAUUUGGAGAGCUAAAUGUGAUGUGGAACAAACCAUCAUAAUUGGAGCCUUUCUAGCCUUUUCUACAUGAAUUCUGUUUCAGAAAAUGUGAGUCCUUUCAUAAGUUCCUAACUUUAAAGACUCACAACCAACUCCUACCUUCAUGAAACCAGUAAUAUAAAAUAUAAAAGAGCUUAAACUCAUCAUUUAUAGAAGCUGAAGCCAUAUCCAUAAAACCCAUCUUUGAGUCCUAUUUUUUUAGCAGUUUUCUGUACCAGUCACGCAACGCUUUGUUAAAAAUAAUUUUGCUCAGAGGAAAUCCAACAAGUGGUUCUUGAAUAAACGGGAACUGUGUCUGUGCCUGUGCCUGUCUGUGGAGCUACGUGAAUGCAACCAGGGCAGGGUGUGUCCUGUCCCUGCCCCCAACAUGUGCAAAGAACGCAUUUU